This 274-nucleotide ribosomal RNA is filed under the name uncultured bacterium. RNAcentral's name for it is "partial 16S ribosomal RNA". It matches the Rfam family "Bacterial small subunit ribosomal RNA", at positions 523 to 796 of the family's 1533-position model. The record is from RNAcentral.
AUACGGAGGGUCCAAGCGUUAUCCGGAUUCAUUGGGUUUAAAGGGUCCGCAGGCGGGAAAAUAAGUCAGUGGUGAAAGCCUACAGCUCAACUGUAGAACUGCCAUUGAUACUGUUUUUCUUGAGUAUAGAUGAAGUGGGCGGAAUAUAUCAUGUAGCGGUGAAAUGCAUAGAUAUGAUAUAGAACACCGAUUGCGAAGGCAGCUCACUAAACUAUUACUGACGCUCAGGGACGAAAGCGUGGGGAGUGAACAGGAUUAGAAACCCGUGUAGUCC